RNAcentral lists this non-coding RNA (46 nucleotides) under Schistosoma curassoni. Lineage: Eukaryota; Metazoa; Platyhelminthes; Trematoda; Strigeidida; Schistosomatidae. The record is from RNAcentral.
GCACUGCUGAGGAGUCGCAUACUAAGACGAAACGUCCAUCCAGUAC